RNAcentral lists this ribosomal RNA (401 nucleotides) under uncultured bacterium. RNAcentral describes it as "bacterial SSU rRNA". It matches the Rfam family "Bacterial small subunit ribosomal RNA", at positions 29 to 427 of the family's 1533-position model. The record is from RNAcentral.
AUUGAACGCUGGCGGCAUGCCUUACACAUGCAAGUCGAACGGCAGCACGGGGGCAACCCUGGUGGCGAGUGGCGAACGGGUGAGUAACACAUCGGAACGUAUCCUGUUGUGGGGGAUAACUAGUCGAAAGAUUAGCUAAUACCGCAUGACCUCGGAAGAGAAAAGCAGGGGACCCGGAGACGGGCCUUGCGCGAUUGGAGCGGCCGAUGUCCGAUUAGCUAGUUGGUGGGGUAAAGGCCUACCAAGGCGACGAUCGGUAGCUGGUCUGAGAGGAUGAUCAGCCACACUGGGACUGAGACACGGCCCAGACUCCUACGGGAGGCAGCAGUGGGGAAUUUUGGACAAUGGGGGCAACCCUGAUCCAGCCAUGCCGCGUGAGUGAAGAAGGCCUGGUGUAAGUA